This is a long non-coding RNA of Bos taurus (domestic cattle), 579 nucleotides long. The record is from Ensembl. Lineage: Eukaryota; Metazoa; Chordata; Mammalia; Artiodactyla; Bovidae.
GCUCUUGAUGUGGCACUUAUGUUUUUGGUCAAGCCAGAAGACAUUUGGAAGAAAGACUAGUAAAUACAGACAAGGCAUAUUCAGAAACCAAGCAUGGCGCAGACAGUGGCUGGAUGGGAAUGCGAUCUCAGCUACCUUUCCUUUGGACACCACAGCUAACAACUUGAUUUCUCUGUCCCUUGGUUUCUCCAUCUAUAACAAAGGGGGCUGGUGAGCAGGUGCUCAGGGAGGCCAUCUGCCAUGGUUACAGAGAAAGAUCCCACAAUGGAAACCACCCACAGUAAACCCAAGCAUGGUGCUUGCUGCAGCUGCUGCUAAGUCACUUCAGUCGUGUCUGACUCUGUGUGACCCCAUAGACGGCAGCCCAACAGGCUCCUCCAUCCCUGGGAUUCUCCAAGCAAGAACACUGGAGUGGGUUGCCAUUUCCUUCUCCAAUGCAUGAAAGUGAAAAGUGAAAGUGAAGUCGUGUCUGACUUUUCGCGAUCCCAUGGACUGCAGUCUACCAGGCUCCUCCGUCCAUGGGAUUUUCCAGGCAAGAGUACUGGAGUGGGGUGCCAUCUCUUAGCACAGUAUAAAUUC